GUACAGCUCCUCGAGUUAUGGUUUCUGUUUCUUUGUGGAUCCUGUUUGUAAUAAUGCACCUGCUUGUAAUAAUAAUAGCACUCUGGAUUUCAACUGCAGCUUUUAUCUGAGCAUCUCCAAAGAGAUUACAGGAGAAGACUGAAGGAAGACAUGAUAACAGCCAUUCAGUAUAUGAAAUAGCUUCGAUCCAGAGGUCUUUUUGGCAACCUAAUCUAUAUGUUGGUCUUCUGCACUAACAUGAGGUCUGCUCAACCAGCUCUACGUCUUCUCACAGGUAGAGAAUCUCCAACUAUCUCCGGUGCAGGAGAAAUCAACCCCAAGACAUCACUGGAGAUUUAUACCAUACAGUUGUUUGGGUCAAUAGGCUACUUAUGAGGAACCUAUAAACAGAAGAGUGUAUGUAUUGCAAUGCUACUCCAGUGGAGGACUAAACACAUCGAUGGAAAAAAUAGAAAACCAGGACUUCAUCUCCACUACAGAUGUGCUUAGCAUUAUAAUGAGUAGGCUCUCUGUCUUAUGAGGGAAGCUUGUCUGCCAUCCUCCUCUAAGCAAUAGGUCAUGAAGGCCAGUUCCAAUAACCAUUAGUGCGUAGCCAUUUUCAACUGCCCCAUAUCCAAACUGAUGCGACAGCUGAGUCACAACAGCAGUUCAGAGGAAGAAAAGGGGAACAAAAACACUGUCUAGCUGAUGACAAAUAGAUAGAAAAUAAACUGCAGAUGGACAGGCCACCUGAAUUUGCUUAUUCUUAUUGGUUUAAUUUUGCACGCUUGAUCUUUCAUCCUGAUUUUCAUUCUGAAACUGUCUGCUUGCAGUCCUAGUCCCCCUGCUCCUGCUAAAAUUGUUACAGGGCUUUGAUCUGUAGAUGUCACUUAUUUAGUAAAGACAAGAUGCAUGAUUUACUGAUGGAAAUGUUUUUAUUGUUCAAAUAUUCUGUAUGAGAAAGUGCCAAGGUUUCUUAUGCUGCUAUUGUAUACUGUGGUACCUCAUAAGAAAACUCAGAGGCAAAAGAACCAAAGCAAAGAAAGAGAAAAAAAAAGAGCCACAGAGAAUGAGCAAAAUAUGACACUCAUAUCAUUGCAUGUCAGAAAUGUCACAUGGGUCCUGAAUACUGUCAUCAUUCAGCAAGGACAUCAGUCUGCAUCUGUCUCCAGACCUAUUUCACUAGGCCCAUCAAUAGAGCUCCCUAGAUACUUCAUUGUCACCUGUCAAUCAUGCUCUAAAAAUAAA
Alligator sinensis (Chinese alligator) is the source of this 1227-nucleotide long non-coding RNA. RefSeq lists it as uncharacterized. The transcript has 3 exons. The record is from RefSeq and is a predicted model, not a curated record. NCBI's taxonomy places the organism in Eukaryota, Metazoa, Chordata, Crocodylia, Alligatoridae.